Molecule: ribosomal RNA, 323 nt
Filed under: uncultured Cercomonas
Lineage: Eukaryota; Cercozoa; Cercomonadida; Cercomonadidae
Description: SSU rRNA
Rfam family: Eukaryotic small subunit ribosomal RNA (bases 110-323)
Source: RNAcentral
GAUUUCUGGUUCGGCGCACUUGGCCCGUCUCGGUUUACGGGAUUGUGUGCCGGUGUGCGCCAUCCAUCCUUCGAGAGAACACUUCUACCCUUCACUGGGUCGGGAGUGCUAUCUCGAUCUUUUACUUUGAAAAAAUUAGAGUGUUUAAAGCAGGCUUGCGCUAUGAAUACAUUAGCAUGGAAUAAUAAUUUAGGACUUUGGCCCUAUUUUGUUGGUUUCUAGGACUGAAGUAAUGAUUGAUAGGGAUAGUUGGGGGUGCUCGAAUUCAGCGGCCAGAGGUGAAAUUCUUGGAUUCGCUGAAGACGAACUCAUGCGAAAGCAUU